UGAGGAAUAUUGGUCAAUGGGCGAGAGCCUGAACCAGCCAAGUAGCGUGGAGGAUGACUGCCCUAUGGGUUGUAAACUUCUUUUAUACGGGAAUAAAGUGAGCCACGUGUGGCUUUUUGUAUGUACCGUAUGAAUAAGGAUCGGCUAACUCCGUGCCAGCAGCCGCGGUAAUACGGAGGAUCCGAGCGUUAUCCGGAUUUAUUGGGUUUAAAGGGUGCGUAGGCGGCCUUCUAAGUCAGCGGUGAAACUCUGUGGCUCAACCAUAGAAUUGCCGUUGAUACUGGCGACCUUGAGUGCAACAGAGGUAGGCGGAAUUCGUGGUGUAGCGGUGAAAUGCUUAGAUAUCACGAAGAACUCCGAUUGCGAAGGCAGCUUGCUGGACUGUAACUGACAUUGAUGC
RNAcentral lists this ribosomal RNA (400 nucleotides) under uncultured bacterium. RNAcentral's name for it is "bacterial SSU rRNA". It matches the Rfam family "Bacterial small subunit ribosomal RNA", at positions 355 to 752 of the family's 1533-position model. The record is from RNAcentral.